This 74-nucleotide transfer RNA is filed under the name FCB group bacterium. RNAcentral describes it as "tRNA-Pro". It matches the Rfam family "tRNA". From Rfam's summary of the family: Transfer RNA (tRNA) molecules are approximately 80 nucleotides in length. Their secondary structure includes four short double-helical elements and three loops (D, anti-codon, and T loops). Lineage: Bacteria; Pseudomonadati. The record is from RNAcentral.
CGGGGCGUAGCGCAGUCCGGUAGCGCACUUCGUUCGGGACGAAGGGGCCGCUGGUUCAAAUCCAGUCGCCCCGA